Long non-coding RNA from Eucalyptus grandis, 1858 nucleotides. RefSeq lists it as uncharacterized. The transcript is spliced from 2 exons. The record is from RefSeq and is a predicted model, not a curated record. NCBI's taxonomy places the organism in Eukaryota, Viridiplantae, Streptophyta, Magnoliopsida, Myrtales, Myrtaceae.
UCUAUACUUUAAGUGGGUGUUGACAAGUGGUCAUGGACAUCCUUAGUGUUUAUGCUCCUUUGAUCAUCGAUUGAUGGAUUGAUCAAUCCUUCUGUUGUUUUAGAGCUGUUUCUGGAUUUACAAUCUAGUGCAUUGACUGUAGCUUCUUUUCUCACAGAGCGAUCUCUUUGAUUGAGGAGGUUGUCUCAGGAAUGGGUACAUAUGAUGAGUCUCCUUGAUCAUCUUCAGGACUGGGUGAAGAACUGACAUUUCGAUGAACUCCUGCUGCGUAGGCACUUGGGUUUUUAUUGAAUCUUUCCUCAGUUGAUUCCCUUGGAGUGGAAAUAUCAUAAUUGUCUUUGUUCCUAUUCCUUUAUAGGUUGGAGUUUUGCCAGAUUUUAUAAGUGAUGAUCUAUUGCCUUUUCUGUGCAGCUGAGUUGAUGCAUUUUGGAGUUCGGCCUUUUUCUGAAAUUGGAUAAGCUCCCCCUUGGAUUUUGGUUCUUUUGAUGUGCUCAUUCUAUAUGUGUCUAUGGAUCAAUCCCUAAUCAAUUGAUAUUUUGUCCAUGCUUUUAUGAUAGGGUGUGCGAGAACUACCUUGACUUAUGCUUAGAGGGUUUGAAGUUCGACAUAAGAUCUCUUGAUUGUCAUUGGAUGGCCUCUCUUUUGGACAUAGCUGCAAAAGGAGAGUACUAAGUCUCCUUACUUGCAAUAAGAUAUCUGUAUGGUUUGCUUAGCCAACAUCUUCCACUGCUCUAAUAAUUUCUUCUGAUACAGUGAUUGUUGGGGACAUUUUAGAAAUGAGGCUUUUUGUAGGUGAGAUGGGUUGCUUUUAGUUUGUAGUGCCACCUUGAGGGCCUAAUUUCUGAAUAUUUUAGGUUCUCGUUGAUCCAUGGGACUAUGAAGACUUUUCUGCUGGACCUAAGUUAUACUUCGUUGCAAACUGUUGGCAUCUCAUUCUGAAAAGAUGAACUGGUACUGUGCUGUUUUAAUAACAUACACCCUUCGGUUCCUUUCAUAACCAGUAGGUCUCUUUCUUCUUGUGUUUCAUGAUUGUCAUAAGUGAUCAGGCCUCACGUGGGGAUGUUGACAGGACAGCCAUGUAGACAUAACUCCCUUGGCAUUACUUGCACUCUGACUGGUUCUCUCCUUUCUGCUGAUUCUCUUGUUUCUUAUCCAUCAAAGCUGUGUGUUGUGGCUGUACGCUGUCAGCAGACAUGGCCAGUCUGGCUGGGAGGAGCAGACAACUUGGUGCUUGGUUGGCAUGUUUGUUGAAUUUUUGUAGUUAAUUUUAAUGGGUGAAACUGAAGGGGCAGAUGACAAUGCUGCAUAAGCUAUGUUUUGAGGUUUUGACAUACCUGGUGAGCAUGGAGCUCUUCUGAUAUCUUAUGAUACCCUAAUGUAUGACGGUUGAACUUCUACUUCUUAUAUAUGAUCUUAAAUUUAAUCAAGAACAGAUGCUGGUGAGGAUGGAGCUCUUCUGAUAUCUUAUGAUACCCUAAUGUACAACGGGUGAACUUCUACUCCUUAUAUAUGAUCUAAAUUUAAUCAACAACAGAUGUUGAAGCUUUUUAGGGGUUAUGAAUUUAUAGAUGUCCAAUUGCAGCGUGAUCCUUUGCCAUUCAUGAUCUUUCGACCAGAUACUCUAAUUGAUGGUUCUACUGUAUCUCUUUCUCAUGGGCUUUACAAGGGUUGUUAAAGUCAUCUUCCUUGUAAUUGGAGAUACUAAAUGGUCACCUUAUGAUCGGUUUCAUUUGCUUUGGUAUUUCGUUUGGAGGCAUGAAUUUUGAAGCAUCUGGCUUGGUCUAUUUCCAGAACAAUUUUGGCGAAGGCUCUGAUUUUUUACAGAAAGGUUUAUCAAAGUUAUUAAGGUUCAAGCCUA